CUAUAUUACGCUCUAUCUAUAUGUUAUCGAGCACUCUUUGCGUUUCGUAAACCACAUUAUUUACGAAUAUAUCUUAUAUAUAUACAUAUAGCUUAAGUUUUUGGUUUACGAAACACAAAGAGUGCUCAAUACCAUAUAGAUAGAGCGUAAUAU
RNAcentral lists this microRNA precursor (153 nucleotides) under Paramuricea clavata. The record is from RNAcentral. Lineage: Eukaryota; Metazoa; Cnidaria; Anthozoa; Malacalcyonacea; Plexauridae.